This 672-nucleotide ribosomal RNA is filed under the name uncultured Acidobacteriota bacterium. RNAcentral describes it as "bacterial SSU rRNA". It matches the Rfam family "Bacterial small subunit ribosomal RNA", at positions 94 to 798 of the family's 1533-position model. The record is from RNAcentral. Lineage: Bacteria; Pseudomonadati; Acidobacteriota.
AGUGGCGUACGGGUGAGUAACACGUGGAUUAUCUACCUUUUAGUGGGGAAUACCCCUGGGAAACCGGGGACAAUACCGCAUAAGCCCGCAAGGGGAAAGCAGCAAUGCGCUGAAAGAGGAGUCCGCGGCUGAUUAGCUAGUUGGCGGGGUAACGGCCCACCAAGGCGAAGAUCGGUAGCCGGCCUGAGAGGGCACACGGCCACACUGGCACUGAAAUACGGGCCAGACUCCUACGGGAGGCAGCAGUGGGGAAUCUUGCACAAUGGAGGCAACUCUGAUGCAGCGACGCCGCGUGAGCGAUGAAGCCCUUCGGGGUGUAAAGCUCUUUCGACGGGAACGAUAAUGACGGUACCCGGAGAAGAAGCUGCGGCUAACUACGUGCCAGCAGCCGCGGUAAUACGUAGGCAGCAAGCGUUGUUCGGAAUUAUUGGGCGUAAAGAGUGCGUAGGCGGUGUUCCAAGUCUGUCGUGAAAUCUCCCGGCUUAACUGGGAGGGUGCGGCGGAAACUGGGAUGCUAGAAGGUGGGAGAGGUAAGCGGAAUUCCUGGUGUAGCGGUGAAAUGCGUAGAUAUCAGGAGGAACACCUGUGGUGUAGACAGCUUACUGGACCACUUCUGACGCUGAGGCACGAAAGCGUGGGUAGCAAACAGGAUUAGAUACCCUGGUAGUCCAC